Molecule: ribosomal RNA, 423 nt
Filed under: uncultured Faecalibacterium sp.
Lineage: Bacteria; Bacillati; Bacillota; Clostridia; Eubacteriales; Oscillospiraceae
Description: bacterial SSU rRNA
Rfam family: Bacterial small subunit ribosomal RNA
Source: RNAcentral
UGGGGGAAUAUUGCACAAUGGGGGGAAACCCUGAUGCAGCGACGCCGCGUGGAGGAAGAAGGUCUUCGGAUUGUAAACUCCUGUUGUUGGGGAAGAUAAUGACGGUACCCAACAAGGAAGUGACGGCUAACUACGUGCCAGCAGCCGCGGUAAAACGUAGGUCACAAGCGUUAUCCGGAUUUACUGGGUUUAAAGGGUGCGCAGGCGGCGCGCCAAGUCAGCGGUCAAAGUUCCGGGCUCAACCCGGUGUCGCCGUUGAAACUGGCGUGCUCGAGUGCGUGCGAGGAAGGCGGAAUGCGUUGUGUAGCGGUGAAAUGCAUAGAUAUGACGCAGAACUCCGAUUGCGAAGGCAGCUUUCCAGCGCGCUACUGACGCUGAGGCACGAAAGCGUGGGGAUCGAACAGGAUUAGAUACCCUGGUAGU